RNAcentral lists this non-coding RNA (137 nucleotides) under Cricetulus griseus (Chinese hamster). Its description in RNAcentral is "Eukaryotic large subunit ribosomal RNA". It matches the Rfam family "Eukaryotic large subunit ribosomal RNA", at positions 816 to 953 of the family's 3401-position model. Lineage: Eukaryota; Metazoa; Chordata; Mammalia; Rodentia; Cricetidae. The record is from Rfam by way of RNAcentral.
CCAAAAGAUGGUGAACUAUGCCUGGGCAGGGCGAAGCCAAAGGAAACUCUAGUGGAGGUCCGUAGCAGUCCUGACAUGCAAAUCAGUCUUCUGACCUGGGUAUAGGAGCGAAGGAUUAAUCGAAGCACCUAUAGUAG